GCGGGUAUAGCUCAAUGGUAGAGCACAUGCCUAGCAAGCCCAAGGUCCUGGAUUCAAUCCCCAGCACUUCCA
RNAcentral lists this transfer RNA (72 nucleotides) under Camelus bactrianus (Bactrian camel). It matches the Rfam family "tRNA". Rfam says of the family: Transfer RNA (tRNA) molecules are approximately 80 nucleotides in length. Their secondary structure includes four short double-helical elements and three loops (D, anti-codon, and T loops). Lineage: Eukaryota; Metazoa; Chordata; Mammalia; Artiodactyla; Camelidae. RNAcentral also lists the same sequence under 1 other name. The record is from Rfam by way of RNAcentral.